AGAGUUUGAUCCUGGCUCAGGAUGAACGCUAGCUACAGGCUUAACACAUGCAAGUCGAGGGGAAACGAUAGUUGGAAGCUUGCUUCCGAUAGGCGUCGACCGGCGCACGGGUGAGUAACGCGUAUCCAACCUGCCCACCACUUGGGGAUAACCGUUGCGAAAGUAAGACUAAUACCCAAUGAUAUCUCUAGAAGACAUCUGAAAGAGAUUAAAGAUUUAUCGGUGAUGGAUGGGGAUGCGUCUGAUUAGCUUGUUGGCGGGGUAACGGCCCACCAAGGCAACGAUCAGUAGGGGUUCUGAGAGGAAGGUCCCCCACAUUGGAACUGAGACACGGUCCAAACUCCUACGGGAGGCAGCA
This 358-nucleotide ribosomal RNA is filed under the name uncultured bacterium. RNAcentral describes it as "bacterial SSU rRNA". It matches the Rfam family "Bacterial small subunit ribosomal RNA", at positions 8 to 353 of the family's 1533-position model. The record is from RNAcentral.